Molecule: long non-coding RNA, 1160 nt
Organism: Homo sapiens (human)
Lineage: Eukaryota; Metazoa; Chordata; Mammalia; Primates; Hominidae
Source: Ensembl
CAGGGUCCAUGGAGUGAAUGAAAAAUGAAAAUGGGAAGAUAAAAUACAGAUUAUAGUUUUCAAGGAUUGGAGCUGGAAGGAGUUGCCUGUUUGAGAGCUGUGUUAAGGUCUGAGAAACAUGUGCAUGUUGUGCACUGCAAGAAAGGAAUCAAGAGGAAGGAGAGGAUGGAGAUAUAGAAGAUGAAAAUCAGCCAGAGUAACAAGGCUCCAGGAAAGCCACAUGGCUAUGUGCAUCCCUUAGAGAAACAAAUUGGAAAAAGGUGGGAAUGUGAAAUGGCGAAGGCACUUUGGAAGACAGUUUGGCAUAGUUUCUUAAAAAUCUAAGCCUAUUCUUACCAUAUGAUCCAGUAAUCACACUCCUUGGUAUUUACCCAAAGGAGUUGAAAAUUAUUUCUACACAAUAACAUGAACAUGGAUGUUUAAGCAGCUUUACUUGUAAUUGCUGAAACUUAGAAGCAACCAAGAUGCUCCUCAGUAUGUGAAUAAACAAACUGUGGUACACUGAGACAAUGAAAUAUUAUUUAGCACUAAAACAAAAUGAGGCAUCAAGCCAUGAAAGACAUGGAGGAACCUUAACUGCAUCUCACUAAGUGAAGAGAAACAAUCAGAAACAGCUACAUACUGUGUGAUUCCAAGUAUAAGACAUCUGAAAAGGGUAAAACUAUGUAGACAGUAAAAAGAUAAGUGGUUGUCAAGGGUUGGGGGGAGUGGAAGAGGGAGGGAUGAAUAGGCAGAGUGCAGAGGAUUUUUAGGGCAGUGAAAAUACUCCGUAUAGUACUAUAAUAAUGGUAGAUACUUGCCAUUACACAUUUGUCCAAAUUCAUAGAAUGUACAAUACCGAGAGUGAACCUUAAUGUAAAUUAUAAACUUUGGGUGAUUAAGAUGUGUCAAUAUAGAUUGAUCAGUUAUAUCAAAUGUACCACUCUAGUAGGAAAUAUUGAUGGCUAGGGAAGCUAUGCAUGUAUAAAGACAGGGGUAUAUGGGAAAUCUCUGUAUCUUGAUCAAAAUUUUCUUGUAAACCUAAAACUGCUCUAAAAAGUAAAACUUUUUUUUUUUAAAGAAAAUUACACAGCUAUCUGUUUUGGAAAAUAAAUUUUGGAAAAAUGUAUAAAAGCAGUAAAUAGAUAAAAGACAACUUUAAUAAAGAGCAUAAAAACAUA